RNAcentral lists this ribosomal RNA (1479 nucleotides) under metagenome. RNAcentral describes it as "bacterial SSU rRNA". It matches the Rfam family "Bacterial small subunit ribosomal RNA". The record is from RNAcentral.
GUUUGAUCCUGGCUCAGGAUGAACGCUAGCGGCAGGCCUAACACAUGCAAGUCGAGGGGUAACAGGGGAGCUUGCUCCCGCUGACGACCGGCGCACGGGUGAGUAACGCGUAUGCAACCUACCCAUAACAGGGGGAUAGCCCGAAGAAAUUCGGAUUAAUACCCCAUAACAUCAUAAAUUCGCAUGUUUUUAUGAUUAAAGCUCUGGCGGUUAUGGAUGGGCAUGCGUGACAUUAGUUUGUUGGUAAGGUAACGGCUUACCAAGACUGCGAUGUCUACGGGGUCUUAAAGGAUGAUCCCGCACACUGGUACUGAGACACGGACCAGACUCCUACGGGAGGCAGCAGUGAGGAAUAUUGCGCAAUGGAGGCAACUCUGACGCAGCCAUGCCGCGUGCAGGAUGACGGCCCUAUGGGUUGUAAACUGCUUUUCUGUACCAAGAAACCCAUGUUCGUGAACAUGGCUGACGGUAGUACAGGAAUAAGCAUCGGCUAACUCCGUGCCAGCAGCCGCGGUAAUACGGAGGAUGCAAGCGUUAUCCGGAUUUAUUAGGUUUAAAGGGUGCGUAGGCGGAAUAAUAAGUCAGUGGUGAAAUCCUGCAGCUUAACUGUAGAACUGCCAUUGAAACUGUUAUUCUUGAGUAUAGUUGAGGUGGGCGGAACGUGUCAUGUAGCGGUGAAAUGCUUAGAUAUGACACAGAACACCUAUUGCGAAGGCAGCUCACUAAACUAUUACUGACGCUGAGGCACGAAAGCGUGGGGAGCGAACAGGAUUAGAUACCCUGGUAGUCCACGCCGUAAACGAUGAUCACUCGUUGUUCGCGAUAUAUUGUGAGCGACUGAGCGAAAGCAUUAAGUGAUCCACCUGGGGAGUACGUCGGCAACGAUGAAACUCAAAGGAAUUGACGGGGGCCCGCACAAGCGGAGGAACAUGUGGUUUAAUUCGAUGAUACGCGAGGAACCUUACCUGGGCUUAAAUGUAGAGCGACGUACCGGGAAACUGGUAUUCCCUUCGGGGCGAACUACAAGGUGCUGCAUGGUUGUCGUCAGCUCGUGCCGUGAGGUGUCGGGUUAAGUCCCAUAACGAGCGCAACCCCUAUUGUUAGUUGCCAGCGGAUAAUGCCGGGGACUCUAACGAGACUGCCAUCGUAAGAUGUGAGGAAGGUGGGGAUGACGUCAAAUCAGCACGGCCCUUAUGUCCAGGGCUACACACGUGUUACAAUGGUCGAUACAAAGGGCAGCUACUUGGUGACAAGAUGCUAAUCUCCAAAAUCGAUCUCAGUUCGGAUCGAAGUCUGCAAUUCGACUUCGUGAAGCUGGAUUCGCUAGUAAUCGUAUAUCAGCAAUGAUACGGUGAAUACGUUCCCGGGCCUUGUACACACCGCCCGUCAAGCCAUGGAAGCUGGGGGUACCUGAAGUUCGUAACCGUAAGGAGCGACCUAGGGUAAAACUAGUAACUGGGGCUAAGUCGUAACAAGGUA